GGUUUUGUAGUGUAAUGGAUAGCACACGGGAUUUUGAUUCCCGUAAUCUGGGUUCGAUCCCCAGCAAGACCU
This 72-nucleotide transfer RNA is filed under the name Morchella angusticeps. Its description in RNAcentral is "tRNA-Gln". It matches the Rfam family "tRNA". From Rfam's summary of the family: Transfer RNA (tRNA) molecules are approximately 80 nucleotides in length. The record is from RNAcentral. RNAcentral also lists the same sequence under 22 other names. Lineage: Eukaryota; Fungi; Ascomycota; Pezizomycetes; Pezizales; Morchellaceae.